UGAGUUCUGCCUGUCAGUCUCUGGAUUUGGAUUGCUCACCCGUGUACCGACCUUCAGCCUGUGAGUACCUGAGAUUGCCUGUCCCCUUAACUGCCUGCUCUUUUGGAUUUUGACUCGGACCUGGACCUGGAACCCCCCUUUCGGAUUUGCCCUUGGAAACCUCUGCCUAAUCAAUCGCCUUCACGAUAUCGGACCCGGACUGGACUCGGACAAAGGACCUUGGAUAAUCCUGCACGGACUCUGCCGCCCUCAGGGGCCAGAAGAAGCCCCGACAAGCCCACUCUCCACCAGGAGCUGCCAGCCGCCGAGCGUGAGCCGCACGCAGCAAGGGCCGUGCAACCCCUUCUUUUAAUAAAAUAUCAAAGCGUCA
Long non-coding RNA from Fundulus heteroclitus (mummichog), 370 nucleotides. RefSeq lists it as uncharacterized. The record is from RefSeq and is a predicted model, not a curated record. The transcript has 2 exons. NCBI's taxonomy places the organism in Eukaryota, Metazoa, Chordata, Actinopteri, Cyprinodontiformes, Fundulidae.